RNAcentral lists this ribosomal RNA (548 nucleotides) under uncultured Bacteroidota bacterium. RNAcentral describes it as "bacterial SSU rRNA". It matches the Rfam family "Bacterial small subunit ribosomal RNA", at positions 108 to 654 of the family's 1533-position model. Lineage: Bacteria; Pseudomonadati; Bacteroidota. The record is from RNAcentral.
GCGUAACGCGUAUGCAACCUACCUUUUACUGGGGGAUAGUCAAGAGAAAUUUUGAAUAAUACCCCAUACGAUCUGAUUCACUCCUGUGAAACAGAAGAAAAUUUCGAUGGUAAAAGAUGGGCAUGCGUCCUAUUAGUUUGUUGGUGAGGUAACGGCUCACCAAGACUACGAUAGGUAGGGGUCCUGAGAGGGAGAUCCCCCACACUGGUACUGAGACACGGACCAGACUCCUACGGGAGGCAGCAGUGAGGAAUAUUGGACAAUGGAGGAAACUCUGAUCCAGCCAUGCCGCGUGUAGGAAGACGGCCCUAUGGGUUGUAAACUGCUUUUAUACAGGAAGAAACGCUAGUACGUGUACUAGCCUGACGGUACUGUAAGAAUAAGGAUCGGCUAACUCCGUGCCAGCAGCCGCGGUAAUACGGAGGAUCCAAGCGUUAUCCGGAAUCAUUGGGUUUAAAGGGUCCGCAGGCGGUCUAAUAAGUCAGAGGUGAAAUCCUAUCGCUCAACGAUAGAACUGCCUUUGAUACUGUUAGACUUGAGUUAUUGUG